Long non-coding RNA from Oncorhynchus tshawytscha (Chinook salmon), 1585 nucleotides. RefSeq lists it as uncharacterized. The transcript is spliced from 2 exons. Lineage: Eukaryota; Metazoa; Chordata; Actinopteri; Salmoniformes; Salmonidae. The record is from RefSeq and is a predicted model, not a curated record.
CUCCUAUAGCUCCUCCCACCAGCCUCCACUGCUCUAUAUACAUGUGGUCCAAUAUCUUAACACACCACAGCACUCUGCAUUAUCCUAAUAUUUCUACUCCGAUUCUUUAGGUAUUUACAUCACUGACAGCAUGAUACACCUAAAAAAAAAGGUGACUUCUCAAGGUUUAGCUGGAUAUAAAGAUGAACUAAUUGAGGUUAUCAGGCAUUCCCUGGUAGUUGUAAUGGACAGCUUAUGCUGUGGUGGCUGUUGAAAAGCCUUGCCAGUUCCCACAGCCAUGCAGACUUAGCUCUGGCUGGCUGCAGUUCUGUGAGAAUCUGCUCCACUGUCAGUAAGGGAUCAGGACUGUCAUUAAAGGCUCUGAACCAGAGGAAAGACUGCAUGGUGCAGCAUGGCAGAGAUGGAGACACUGUGCGCUGCUGCUGGACCACUAAGGGGUUUUGCAUUGAGCUGCAUAUUCCAAAUCAAAAUACUGUGCUAUAGCUCAAUUGUCUUGUGCUUGGGUCAGACAGUGUUAUCUGAGGGGUUUUCUCCCUCUUCAGGACAUUGCUCUUCCCCUCUGUUUUGAGACGAGAAUGAGGCAAUUAGACAAUGUUUUUUUUUACGCUUUGUUUUUAAAUGUAGUUUGGACGGCACAAUAAAUGUUUAUUUAUUUAUAUUUAAACCCUUUUAUAUGCAUGUCUCUGCUGUAGGUUUCCAUUACUGUAUGGUACAUCUCCAUGAACUUAAGCUGCAGUCUAGUUUGUUCAGUGUUUUGCACUGGAUGGUCGGUGUAUCUCCUCUGUGAUGAAAGAGAAGACUAUGCUGAGUGAGUGUCAGGAAAUGGUAGACUGAUUCUAUUUCUAUCUACGGUUUGGCUGCACCAUCAGGACCAACCAACAACAGGACCCGACCAGUCUGGCCAACCUAAAGCCUUUCUAAUUUGGUGAUGAGCUGUAAGACGACCUGCUUGCCCCUGCGGCGAAUCGAGGGAGACAGAGCGAGAGAUGAUAGUGACUCCGACUGGGAGCCCCCGGUGCCAAGGUGCCCAUCCCCCACUGAAGCGGGUUCAUCCAGCUGGACUCCUGCUGUCUCCGGCUCCACACCUACCCCCGCCCGGCCAUCUAGAGGUGUGAAGACAGUAACAAAGAAGCGGAGGAAGGGAAGUGUGGAACCUGCUGGCAGAGAGGUAGAGGGGCAAUGGCACUCUGUGCUGGAGGAGGAUGUGGAGCCAUGUCCUCCAAUAUUCAGACCAAAAAGGCCACCAGGACCUCAGCUCGACAUGACAUCGAAAUACAGCCCCAUGCAACUUUUUCAACUGUUUUUCACCCCGGCAGUUGUUGAUUCCCUGGUGUGUAAUACUAACAAGUAUGGGGCUAGGAAGCAAGCAGGAAAGAAAGAGGCAUGGAAGCCCAUUUCCAUGUCAGAUCUUUUCUGCUAGCUUUCACCGGUAAUUUACAUGGGGCUGGUGAAGUUAAAAACCCUAAAGGAUUACUGGAAAACAUCCCCACUCUAUCAACUGCCUUUCCCCCCCACUGUCAUGUCCUCUACAGGGUUUAUAAAUAUCUCACGGGCGCUUCACAUCAGUGACCCAGAAGUUGAUGAC